GCCACUGCAUUCCAGCCUGGGCAACAGACUGAGACCCUGCCUCAAAAGAAAAAAAGAAAAAAAAAAAAGGAGAGCGCGUACUGUUGCGGAAGGGGCACUGCUCGAGAAACAGAGACGAAGGGAUGAUUUUCAAGUAAUCAAGACACCGAGAAAGACAAGAUUGGGGAUGGAAGAGCAAGUAUCGAGCUGUCGCCCAGGCUGGAGUGCAAUGGCAUGAUCUUGGCUCACUGCAACCUCUGCCUCCCGCGUUCUAAGUGAUUCUCCUUCCUCAGCCUCCCGAAUAGCUGGGAUUAUAGGCACGCACCAUCAUGCAUGGCUAAUUUUGUAUUUUUAGUAGAGAUGGGGUUUCCCCAUGUUGGCCAGGCUGGUCUCGAACUCCUGAUCUCAGGUUAUCCACCCGCCUCAGCCUCUCCAAGUGCUGGGAUUACAAGUGUGAGCCACCGCACCCCGCCCUAAUCUCAGCCUUUUUAUAUCUUCUUGGUAGGCCCACUUUUUGGCAUCCCCUAACAAGAAGUCCUCAGAGAUUUUUACUACUCAACAUGUGUGCGUCCCACUCAGAUGUAUUGUGUUCUUUCUGUUCACCCUCUACUUCCCAUUCCAUUUCUUCCUCUGACUUAGGGUUAGAAUGGCCCAAUGAUCCUACAACUUUUUGAUGCUAUUUCAUUUGAUUCCUCUACUGUCUAAAUCACAAGUUGGCUAACUUUACUUACUGUAAGGGAUCAGAUAGCAAAUAGUUUAGGCCUUGUGGGCCAUUCAAUCUGUCAUAACUACCCACUCUGACCAUAUGUAGUGCAAAAGCAGCCCUUGACAAUAUAUAAAUGAAUGAACGUGAAUGUAUUUCAAUAAAGCUUUACUUGUGGAC
This 862-nucleotide long non-coding RNA is filed under the name Homo sapiens (human). RNAcentral's name for it is "HSALNT0366504". Lineage: Eukaryota; Metazoa; Chordata; Mammalia; Primates; Hominidae. The record is from RNAcentral.